RNAcentral lists this transfer RNA (60 nucleotides) under Anoplocephala perfoliata. RNAcentral's name for it is "tRNA-Ser". The record is from RNAcentral. Lineage: Eukaryota; Metazoa; Platyhelminthes; Cestoda; Cyclophyllidea; Anoplocephalidae.
GGAAAGUGUAUGGAGGGUUACUGCUAAUAAUCUUUGGUCAAUUUAGUUUGACGCUUUUUC